Molecule: transfer RNA, 60 nt
Filed under: Phyllocoptes taishanensis
Lineage: Eukaryota; Metazoa; Arthropoda; Arachnida; Trombidiformes; Eriophyidae
Description: tRNA-Lys
Source: RNAcentral
UACUAAGUAGCCUAAUUAAGGCGUUUACUUUUUAAUUAAAUUAUGAUUCUUCCUUAGUAG